UACGAAGGGGGCUAGCGUUGUUCGGAAUUACUGGGCGUAAAGCGCACGUAGGCGGAUUUGUUAGUCAGGGGUGAAAUCCCGGGGCUCAACCUCGGAACUGCCUUUGAUACUGCAAGUCUCGAGUCCGGAAGAGGUGGGUGGAAUUCCUAGUGUAGAGGUGAAAUUCGUAGAUAUUAGGAAGAACACCAGUGGCGAAGGCGGCCCACUGGUCCGGUACUGACACUGAGGUGCGAAAGCGUGGGGAGCAAACAGG
RNAcentral lists this ribosomal RNA (253 nucleotides) under uncultured bacterium. RNAcentral describes it as "partial 16S ribosomal RNA". It matches the Rfam family "Bacterial small subunit ribosomal RNA", at positions 524 to 776 of the family's 1533-position model. The record is from RNAcentral.